Paramuricea clavata is the source of this 1092-nucleotide non-coding RNA. Lineage: Eukaryota; Metazoa; Cnidaria; Anthozoa; Malacalcyonacea; Plexauridae. The record is from the annotation of a GenBank genome assembly.
GGGGGGAGGUGUAUAGAUUUUUCAGUAUUUUAUAGGGGGGGUCUUCAACAUUUAGAUCAUCAAGAGGGGGGAGGGCUACAAGAUUUUUGUAUAUGACAUAAGAAUCUUCCCCCCACCCCCAGGGUAUAAAUAAUGAACGGUCCCUAAGAUUCGCAAAGCAAAUUUCAGUUACUAUAAUAUCAAACCUCCCUUCUAAAUUCCAUUUUUCUUCCAAUGUUCUGCUUGUAUUUUAAAGAAAAGGGAAUUUGAAUGCGGGAGGGGGGGGGGGGGUUGAAACUAUUCAGUGAAACUAUUCGAUUUAAAACAGUCGGCACCGCACAAUUGAAUAACCUUAUAUAUAACCUUAUUAUAUAAACGUUCUUAUUUUCUCCAAUUUUCUCAAGAUGCCAGCGAGUGCACAGAAGAAGAAUCAAACGAAGUAUCGAGCACGAAGAGCAGGAAUUGUUCAAUGAACUGUUCAGACAGUGUUUUGUCAAAUGUAUUUUCAUUUUUGACACUGGGAAUAAAAGGCAUACAUAUGGCUUGUCAAAGAGGAGCCGCACCAGGCCUUUUUACAAAUUACUGAAUCAUUCGGUGGCCUUGAGAUAACAAUUUACAGAGACAACAUUAUAAAACCUAUAGAGAUAUUAGUAUACCAUAAUAUAAUCACAUAUAAAGUAAAUCAAGAAUAGCUGAUCUAUAUAAUAAUUAUAAUGAUAGUUUUAAGAAUAACGAAAUUUAUCUACAGUAUUCAUUAUCUCAAUUGAGCAUUCCUUUCUUUUUUGCUUAUCAAAUUCAUCCAAAAUGGCGGCGGUGACGUAACAGUUUGCACAAUACAAGCAAUUGACUCGACAAAUAGCAUACUCCUAUUAUCAUACCCUUAUUAUAAGUGAUGUAAUUUUAAAAAUUAAUGACACUGCAUCGAUGCAGUUAAUUAAAAUAAGAAACAGGCUCAUGCCAUUGAGUGUGACAAAAUGGUCGCUUUGCAUAACACUAAGCACAUUCGGUAAUCUUGGUAAUGGUAUAUUCGGACCAGUACAGUAUGUCAUUGAUUCGGUAAUUUAACGCCAGACGCGAUUUUACUUUCCCCACAAAAGAUUACGUAAAUCCUGG